AGUGAACGCUGGCGGUAGGCCUAACACAUGCAAGUCGAACGGCAGCACAGUAAGAGCUUGCUCUUACGGGUGGCGAGUGGCGGACGGGUGAGGAAUACAUCGGAAUCUACUUUUUCGUGGGGGAUAACGUAGGGAAACUUACGCUAAUACCGCAUACGACCUACGGGUGAAAGCAGGGGAUCUUCGGACCUUGCGCGAUUGAAUGAGCCGAUGUCGGAUUAGCUAGUUGGCGGGGUAAAGGCCCACCAAGGCGACGAUCCGUAGCUGGUCUGAGAGGAUGAUCAGCCACACUGGAACUGGGACACGGUCCAGGCGCCUACGGGAGGCAGCAGUGGGGAAUAGUGGGCAAUGGGGGCAAGCAUGAUCCAGCCAUACCGCGUGGGUGGAGAAGGCCUUCGGGUUGUAAAGCCCUUUUGUUGGGAAAGAAAAGCAGCAGGUUAAUACCCCGCUGUUCUGACGGUACCCAAAGAAUAAGCACCGGCUAACUUCGUG
RNAcentral lists this ribosomal RNA (492 nucleotides) under uncultured bacterium. Its description in RNAcentral is "partial 16S ribosomal RNA". It matches the Rfam family "Bacterial small subunit ribosomal RNA", at positions 29 to 507 of the family's 1533-position model. The record is from RNAcentral.